CUUUGUCGCCCCAUGAAGAGGCUUAGACUGAGUUUUGGCAUUUCCCUGUGAGACGCUGCCCCUUAGGCAAAUGCAUCUGUCAUGGUUAAGCACCUGGGUUUAAAUGUAAUGUUUGAGGCUUACUGAAUCCUCACAGAUUCGUUGGCACCUGGAUGGCUAAGUCUUCAAGUUAUAAAACAAGAUCACAAGCCAAAAAGUAACAUAGGAAAUAAUAAAGACUGGAUCAUGUUAUCAGAUUUUACUGUUUCAUAUACAGAAGGCUAUCGGACUGUUUUGCCAGAUUCUAAAUGACAACUUUUAAGUCAGAGCCUUGAAAUCUAUAGAAGUCCAGUAUAUUCUGAGGUAUAUUGCAUACUAAUGGACAGCAGCAAGAGAUACAUCUGGUGGACUAAAA
Molecule: long non-coding RNA, 394 nt
Organism: Equus quagga
Lineage: Eukaryota; Metazoa; Chordata; Mammalia; Perissodactyla; Equidae
Exons: 3
Source: RefSeq, a predicted model, not a curated record